GACAGAGGAGGCGAGCGUUAUCCGGAGUUAUUGGGCGUAAAGGGUACGUCGGCGACUGGUCAAGUCUGGGGUUAAAGACCACAGCUUAACUGUGGGGGGGCCUUGGAAACUGACCGGCUGGAGUGGGGCAGGGGUUGCGGGAAUUCCCGGUGUAGCGGUGAAAUGCGUAGAUAUCGGUAAGAACACCUGAGGCGAAAGCGCGCAACUGGGCCCUAACUGACGCUGAGGUACGAAAGCUAGGGGAGCGAAGGGG
This 253-nucleotide ribosomal RNA is filed under the name uncultured bacterium. Its description in RNAcentral is "partial 16S ribosomal RNA". It matches the Rfam family "Bacterial small subunit ribosomal RNA", at positions 524 to 776 of the family's 1533-position model. The record is from RNAcentral.